This 58-nucleotide ribosomal RNA is filed under the name Chaetosphaeria vermicularioides. RNAcentral's name for it is "partial large subunit ribosomal RNA". The record is from RNAcentral. Lineage: Eukaryota; Fungi; Ascomycota; Sordariomycetes; Chaetosphaeriales; Chaetosphaeriaceae.
GGUGCAGGCCAGCGUCGGUUUGGGUGGGGGGAUAAAGGCGUCUGGAAUGUGGCUCCUC